This is a long non-coding RNA of Oncorhynchus tshawytscha (Chinook salmon), 816 nucleotides long. NCBI's taxonomy places the organism in Eukaryota, Metazoa, Chordata, Actinopteri, Salmoniformes, Salmonidae. The record is from Ensembl.
GACAACGUAAUUGUCUGGUUGAAAUAUUAUAGAUAAUUUAGGCUACAAAACAACCUGAGGAUUGAAUAUAAACAUUGUUUGACAUGUUUCUAUUAACUUUACGGAUACCAUUUGGAUUUUUUUGUCUGAUUGUUUUGACUGAGUUUGAGCCUGUGGAUUACUGAAGAACACGCGCUAACAUGAUACAAAGAGACUUCAUCGAACAAAAGGAACAUUUAUUGAGUAAAUUAAUGUCUUUUGAUUGCCACCAUAUGAAGAUCAUCAAAGGUCAUGUUGGGGUGUUGGACACAGUGAAGAGGCAUAGAGGAUGCAGACAGUGUCUUUAAGCUGUCUCACUCAAACUGACUGCUGAAUACAACGUAAGCUAUUCCCACUGAUGCAAGUCCAGCAAAUAGUACAGAGAGAUCCUUGAUGAAAACCUGCUCCAGAGCAUUCAGGACCUUAGACUGGGGCGAAUGUUCACCUUCCAACAGGACAACGACCAUAAGCACACAGCCAAGACAACUCAGGAGUGGCUCUGAGUCUCAAGUCUCUGAAUGUCCUUGAGCGGCCCAGCCAGAGCCCAGACUUUAACCCGAUCGAACAUCUCUGGAGAGACCUGAAAAUACCUGUGCAGCGACGCUCCCCAUCCAACCAGACAGAGCAUGAGAGGUUCUGCAGAGAAGAAUGGGAGAAACUCCCCAAAUAGAGGUGUGCCAAGCUUGUAGAGUCAUACCCAAGAAGAUUCGAUGCUGUAAUCACAGCCAACAAAGUACUGAGUAAAGAGUCUGAAUACUUAAAUGUGAUAUUGCAUUUUUAAUUUUUUUUUUAUAAAUU